RNAcentral lists this ribosomal RNA (460 nucleotides) under uncultured bacterium. RNAcentral's name for it is "partial 16S ribosomal RNA". It matches the Rfam family "Bacterial small subunit ribosomal RNA", at positions 338 to 795 of the family's 1533-position model. The record is from RNAcentral.
CCUACGGGAGGCAGCAGUGAGGAAUAUUGGUCAAUGGACGAGAGUCUGAACCAGCCAAGUAGCGUGAAGGAUGACUGCCCUAUGGGUUGUAAACUUCUUUUAUAAAGGAAUAAAACGAGGCACGUGUGCCUUUUUGCAUGUACUUUAUGAAUAAGGAUCGGCUAACUCCGUGCCAGCAGCCGCGGUAAUACGGAGGAUCCGAGCGUUAUCCGGAUUUAUUGGGUUUAAAGGGAGCGUAGAUGGGUUGUUAAGUCAGUUGUGAAAGUUUGCGGCUCAACCGUAAAAUUGCAAUUGAUACUGGCAGUCUUGAGUACAGUUGAGGUAGGCGGAAUUCGUGGUGUAGCGGUGAAAUGCUUAGAUAUCGGGAAGAACACCGAUGGCGAAGGCAGCUUACUGGGCCGACACUGACGCUGAGGCGCGAAAGCUAGGGGAGCGAACAGGAUUAGAUACCCUGGUAGUC